CGAGGAUCAUUCGCAAUGGGGGAAACCCUGACGAUGCGACGCUGCGUGGAGGAUGAAGGCCCUCGGGUCGUAAACUCCUGUCAUAUGGGGCAAGGGCGCGGGCGCUAACAGCGUCUCGCGCUUGAUGGUACCAUAAGAGGAAGCCACGGCUAACUCUGUGCCAGCAGCCGCGGUAAUACAGAGGUGGCGAGCGUUGUUCGGAUUUACUGGGCGUAAAGCGUGCGUAGGCGGUCGCGUAUGUCGGAUGUGAAAUCCCGGGGCUCACCCCCGGAAGUGCAUCCGAAACUGCGCGGCUAGAGGCCGGGAUGGGUGACUGGAACACAUGGUGUAGCGGUGAAAUGCGUUGAUAUCAUGUGGAACACCGGAGGCGAAGGCGAGUCACUGGAACGGAUCUGACGCUGAGGCACGAAAGCGUGGGGAGCAAACA
This 427-nucleotide ribosomal RNA is filed under the name uncultured Verrucomicrobiota bacterium. RNAcentral's name for it is "bacterial SSU rRNA". It matches the Rfam family "Bacterial small subunit ribosomal RNA", at positions 356 to 774 of the family's 1533-position model. The record is from RNAcentral. Lineage: Bacteria; Pseudomonadati; Verrucomicrobiota.